This 940-nucleotide long non-coding RNA is filed under the name Panax ginseng (ginseng). Its description in RNAcentral is "long non-coding RNA (PGIN_LNC018095)". The record is from RNAcentral. Lineage: Eukaryota; Viridiplantae; Streptophyta; Magnoliopsida; Apiales; Araliaceae.
UCCACGAUACCAUUUCUUUAAGCUGAAUAAUACUAAAUAAUAAUACAUCAAAGUUUACUUCCCCAGGUACGUGACCUUCAAAUACAUUCCUUACAAUAUCUGACAAUAGAUUCCAUUGUCUUACUAACUAUAACCAUUAACUCAUACUAAAUCUCAUUCGAAUAGCUUUUCUUUUCCCUUGUUCGUGCCUGAGCCUUCAGGUCGAUCGUACGUAACUGAAAACAUUUAAUUUAAGCAAGGAUGAGCAUUUGAGUGCCCAGCAAGUAAUAGCAAUUAUAUAUAUAAGCUGAAAGAAUAUAAGUAUUCUCUUUACAUAACACUUCUACAACGAAUCAAAAGUUGUGAAGUAAUCUGUACUGAUAAAAGAUUCACAUAACAACUCUCUUUCAAUUUCUUGAAAUUAGGCUCCACCCAUGAAUAGGGUUUAAGAAACAUACUAUGAACAUGGUUUUUCAUUUUCGAAAAGGUUUAGCAGAAAUUCAUCCGCAAACCGUCAUAACUUACGGGCACGGAGGGUGAUCAGCCCCGUUGUACCCUGUAUUGAUCAAUACUACAUAACUUGAACGAAAUUCAUCGCUCACCCUUUGUCCGCCGAAGCGCAUAAAAAUUUUCCCAUUAUCGGGAUGUUCAUACAUGCCUGGUUCCAAACCCGAAGGUUUUUAAUCUUGCUCAACAAUAAUAUGUAAUUCAACAUAUAUGUAUACGGGUAAUUGACAAAGGUAUAUCAACAUGUGAAUAAAUGCCAUGAUUAUCCAAGUGGGGACACUUGUAUAACCAUUUAGAAAUCAACUUAACAGAAUAUAUAUCUGAGCUAACAUGUUGAUAAUCAAAGCGUACAUAAUCUGUACAGGAAUAGAAUAAUUCUGAAACUUCUUACUCAUGUCCAUUGCAUAAAGAAAAUGCAAAGGUAGGAUACUUGCCUGAUUCGCUGAUUACAAAU